This is a long non-coding RNA of Bos indicus x Bos taurus (hybrid cattle), 1121 nucleotides long. The record is from Ensembl. Lineage: Eukaryota; Metazoa; Chordata; Mammalia; Artiodactyla; Bovidae.
UUCUGAUAUAAAAUAAUAAUUUUAUUAUUGGAAAUAGUAAUAAUAAUCUUUUAUUAUCUGUUUCAGAGAUAUGUAGCCUCACUUGUCUGGCAUCUUAUCCAAGAAGACUUCCUUUUCUCUGGUUCCCUGUGGAGUGCAUAUUAAGCCAUUGGAGAGAGAAGAGUGGACAAAUGUGGCAGGACAGAGGCAUGAGAGAGAAGCAGAGGAAGCCCAUUCUAAUUCUAUACAUUCAUCAACCUUAUGCAUUAUUCAUAAAAACGACUGGACAACUGAGGAUCACCAGACAUUGGAUAAACACAAACAGUGUGAAAGAGAAGAACCAAGUGAACUAGAAGAAUGAUUGGAAACAGAGAUAAUUCAGAGAACAGAAGAAAACAUUAAAUCCAUCCUAAUUAGCAUCCUCUGGCUUCCCAGGUAGCUCAGUGGUAAAGAAUCUGCCUGCAGUGCAGGAGAUGAGGGUUUGAUUCUUGGACUGGGAAGAUCACCUGGAAAAGGAAAUGGCAGCCUACUCCAGUAUUCUUGCCUCGGAAAUCCCAUGGACAGAGGAGCCUGGUGGGCUACAGUCCAUGGGGUUGCAAAAAAGUCAGACAUGACUUAGCAACUAAAUAACAACAAUUUGUAUCCUCAUGAAAUUCUCAUAACUAUUGAUUCAUAAAAAUAGAAUACAUUGUAUGAAAAAGGAGCAAUCAGAAAAUGAAGAAUUCUUGAAAAUUAAAAUUUCAUUACUGAAAUUUAAAAAUUAACAGAGGGCUAAAUAAUAGAAAGGACUGAGUUGAAUAUGUUACUAACCUGGAAAGUAAAGUUGAGGCAAUGUCUUAGAACCUAAAGGGCAUUAGAGACAAACAUAUUGUAAGAACUGAGUUUAGGCGCUAAGAUCAAUAUCUAAGUUCCAACAUCCACCUAAUUGUUGUUUUUUUGGUUAAAGUCAGAAAGAAAUGAAGAAAUAAUAGAAAUCAUAGAAAAAAAUUUUCCCCAGUGUAAGUCACAAGCAUCAUAUUGAAAGAGUCUAAUGAGCGGUAAAGAAAUUGAAUGGAAAAAGGCCCAUAAAUCAUAUUCAAAUGAAAUGUCUGAGCUAAGAUAUUUCAAGAGUAAGAAAUUUGUUAAUAAAACAUACAAAUUAG